GACAGAGGGUGCAAACGUUGUUCGGAAUUACUGGGCGUAAAGCGCGUGUAGGCGGCUCGGAAAGUCGGAUGUGAAAGCCCUGGGCUUAACCUAGGAAGUGCAUUCGAAACUCCCGAGCUUGAGUUCUGGAGAGGAAGGCGGAAUUCUCGGUGUAGAGGUGAAAUUCGUAGGUAUCGAGAGGAACACCGGUGGCGAAGGCGGCCUUCUGGACAGUGACUGACGCUGAGACGCGAAAGCGUGGGGAGCAAACAGG
This 253-nucleotide ribosomal RNA is filed under the name uncultured bacterium. RNAcentral describes it as "partial 16S ribosomal RNA". It matches the Rfam family "Bacterial small subunit ribosomal RNA", at positions 524 to 776 of the family's 1533-position model. The record is from RNAcentral.